Molecule: ribosomal RNA, 1598 nt
Filed under: activated sludge metagenome
Description: bacterial LSU rRNA
Rfam family: Bacterial large subunit ribosomal RNA
Source: RNAcentral
AGAAGUGAGAAUGUUGGCAUAAGUAGCAUAAAUGGAGGUGAGAAUCCUCCACAUCGUAAACCCAAGGUUUCCAGGGCAACGCGAAUCGCCCCUGGGUUAGUCGGUCCUAAGGUGAGGCCGAAAGGCGUAAUCGAUGGACAGCAGGUUAAUAUUCCUGCACUUCUAUAGAUUUCCAAUGGAGAGACGCAUCCUUCAACUACUCGAGAUUCUCGGAAUGAAUCUUUGGGGGUCAAGGGGUGCCUGAUAGGCAAAUCCGUCAGGCAUUAGCCUCGUGAUCAUCGCAAGCUUAUCGAAAGAUAAGCAAGGGGUGGGACUGGGGUGCCAAGAAAAUCUUCUAGGGCUAAGUCUAUAGAAACCGUACCGCAAACCGACACAGGUGGGUGGGCAUGAGUGUGCUCAGAUGAACGAGAGAACCCGCGUUUAGGAACUCGGCAAUACAGCGACCGUAACUUAGGGAUAAGGUCUCCCCACCGCAAGGUGGGGCGCAGCUAAAGACGCAAACCGACUGUUUACCAAAAACACAGCUUCCUGCUAAAUCGCAAGAUGAAGUAUAGGAAGUGAUGCCUGGCCAGUGUCAGAACGUUAAAGGGAGAGGUCAUGAUCGCAAGAUCGGCAGCCUUGAGCUGAAGCGCUGAUGAACGCCGGCGAUAACUAUAAUCGUCCUAAGGUAGCGAAAUUCCUUGACGGGUGAGUUCCGUCCCGCACGAAUGGCAUAACGAGUUUGCGACUGUCUCAACGUGGGACUCGGCGAAAUUGCAAGUGGGGUGAAGAUGCCCUGUAUGCGCAGUCAGACGAAAAGACCCCGUGAAGCUUUACUACAAUUUGAUAUUGGGUAAUGGCUUGGCAUGUUCAGUGUAGGUGGGAGCGUAAGCACCAAUGAGACACCACCCUUGCCUCGACAUUAUUCUCAUCACGAACCAUGAAUCUGGUUUGUGAAACAGUAUCUGAUGGGUAGUUUAACUGGGGCGGUUGCCUCCCAAAAUGUAACGGAGGCGUUCACAAAGGUUAGCUAGGCGCGGAUGGAAAUCGCGCUGAUCCUGCAAUAGGACAAGCUAGCUUAACUGCAAGGCCAACAAGCCGAGCAGAUACGAAAGUAGGAUAUAGUGAUCCGACCGUACGAUAUCGGACGGCGGAAGCUCAACGGAUAAAAGCUACUCCGGGGAUAACAGGCUGAUCAGGUCCAAGAGUCCACAUCGACGACCUGGUUUGGCACCUCGAUGUCGGCUCAUCGCAUCCUGGGGCUGGAGAAGGUCCCAAGGGUUAGGCUGUUCGCCUAUUAAAGCGGUACGCGAGCUGGGUUCAGAACGUCGUGAGACAGUUCGGUCUCCUGUCUACUGUGCGCGUGGAAUGUUGAGGGAGCUGGUCUCUAGUACGAGAGGACCGAGAUCAACGAACCUCUAGUGCGCCGGCUGUCCUACCAAGGGCACCGCCGGGUAGCUACGUUCGGCGCAGAUAAACGCUGAAAGCAUCUAAGCGUGAAACUGUUCCCAAGAUUAACAUUCAUUUAGGACCCUACGAGACUAGUAGGUUGAUAGGUUGCAUGUGUAAGGGUAGCAAUACCUUCAGCAGAGCAAUACUAAUCGUCCAAUGCUUCGACC